Molecule: ribosomal RNA, 481 nt
Filed under: uncultured bacterium
Lineage: Bacteria
Description: bacterial SSU rRNA
Rfam family: Bacterial small subunit ribosomal RNA
Source: RNAcentral
AUGAACGCUAGCGGCAGGCUUAAUACAUGCAAGUCGAACGGCAGCACGGGUAGCAAUAUCUGGUGGCGAGUGGCGAACGGGUGCGUAACGCGUAUGCAAUCUACCUUUAACUGGUGAAUAGCCCGAAGAAAUUCGGAUUAAUACACCAUAGUAUAGUAAAGUGGCAUCACUUAACUAUUAAAACUCCGGUGGUUAAAGAUGAGCAUGCGUGACAUUAGCUAGUUGGUGAGGUAAUGGCUCACCAAGGCAACGAUGUCUAGGGGAUCUGAGAGGAUUAACCGCCACACUGGUACUGAGAUACGGACCAGACUCCUACGGGAGGCAGCAGUAAGGAAUAUUGGACAAUGGUCGCAAGACUGAUCCAGCCAUGCCGCGUGAAGGAUGAAGGCUCUAUGGGUUGUAAACUUCUUUGGUACGGGAAAAAAAACUCUACGUGUAGAGGAUUGAGUGUACUGUAAGAAUAAGGAUCGGCUAACUCCGU